Molecule: ribosomal RNA, 465 nt
Filed under: Vreelandella stevensii
Lineage: Bacteria; Pseudomonadati; Pseudomonadota; Gammaproteobacteria; Oceanospirillales; Halomonadaceae
Description: partial 16S ribosomal RNA
Rfam family: Bacterial small subunit ribosomal RNA
Source: RNAcentral
CCUACGGGGCGCAGCAGUGGGGAAUAUUGGACAAUGGGCGAAAGCCUGAUCCAGCCAUGCCGCGUGUGUGAAGAAGGCCUUCGGGUUGUAAAGCACUUUCAGUGGGGAAGAAAGCCUUGGGGCUAAUACCCUCGAGGAAGGACAUCACCCACAGAAGAAGCACCGGCUAACUCCGUGCCAGCAGCCGCGGUAAUACGGAGGGUGCGAGCGUUAAUCGGAAUUACUGGGCGUAAAGCGCGCGUAGGCGGUCUGAUAAGCCGGUUGUGAAAGCCCCGGGCUCAACCUGGGAACGGCAUCCGGAACUGUCAGGCUAGAGUGCCGGAGAGGAAGGUAGAAUUCCCGGUGUAGCGGUGAAAUGCGUAGAGAUCGGGAGGAAUACCAGUGGCGAAGGCGGCCUUCUGGACUGACACUGACGCUGAGGUGCGAAAGCGUGGGUAGCAAACAGGAUUAGAUACCCGUGUAGUC